Molecule: small nuclear RNA, 195 nt
Filed under: Ophiophagus hannah (king cobra)
Lineage: Eukaryota; Metazoa; Chordata; Lepidosauria; Squamata; Elapidae
Description: 7SK RNA
Rfam family: 7SK RNA
About the family: 7SK was discovered as an abundant small nuclear RNA in the mid-70s but a possible function has only recently been suggested. Two independent studies have found that 7SK RNA binds the CDK9/cyclin T complex (known as elongation factor P-TEFb).
Source: Rfam by way of RNAcentral
GGACAAGAUGUGAUCUGGCUAUGACACGUGCCAUAUUAUUGAUCACUAAGGUUGAUUUGAGUGACCUAGCUGGUUUGGCAAGUGUCCCCUUCCUCUCUCAAAACUCCAUAUGUGUUCUCCCCCAGCCUCCAACCUGUGUGCUCAGUAAAACUGGAUUACCAUUCCAGAUGAAAGAGUAUAUAAUCUUCAGUCAGU